GAAAAUGAGCUGGGGGACAUUUCUACCGUAAAAUCCACCGCCAUGUUGGAUGUUGCCGCCGAACGAAUUAGCAGUCUUUUUACGAGAUUGGAGGACGUCAAUCUCAAUUUGGAAUCGAUGGAUACUUCAGAGACCGCUGAGGGAUCGAAAAUCGAGUCAAGGUGUCAAAGAAUACUAACUGACAUUCGUGAACGUCGUGAGGCGCUGAAGCAUCAUUGUAACUCAUCGGCGAGUGACUCCGGAUCGACGCAAGAGCACCAGCAUAAACCGAAUCUUCCCAAGAUAUCGUUGCCCAAGUUCAGUGGAAGUUAUGGAGACUGGCUGUCGUUCAAGGAUUUAUACGUCACUAUGGUACACGGAAAUGAAGAUUUAAGUCCCGUGCAGAAGUUCUAUUACUUGAAGUCGUGUUUGGUCGGCGAAGCUGCCUCUUUGGUUACGACUUUGGAAUGUACGAACGAAAACUACGUGAAGGCAUGGUCUGCGAUUACAUCAAGAUAUGACAAUAAGCAGCGCUGCCAAGCAUUAGAUAUGCUAUGCCGUGAUGAAGCAGUGAGCACUACAAAGGUCGUGCCUCCGGCAAAGAGCACUAGUCAUGUGACUGUUGGCAGCGGCAGAAGUGCAAAUGGUAAGUUAUUUUCUUGUUUGUAUUGCAACAAAAAUCACUCAACUUACAAGUGUUUUAAAUUCAUUAAAUUGAGUCCCAAUGACAGACAGACAUUUGUUAACAAAACUAAUUUGUGUGUUGUUUGUUUAUCAGAUAAACAUUGUACUAGCAAUUGCACAUCCAAUAUUGUCUGUAAAAAGUGUUUACAAAAGCAUCAUCACUUAUUACAUCUUGAUUCGCAGACAUGUAAUGAGACUUCUGCCCGUAGCUCUACUUCAAAUGAUUCUCACAUCAAUUCCCCGAGUAAUGUUGUAAUGACAUCUUCAAUAGUUACACAAAAUAGUACCUCUGUAUGUCAAGUGUCCCUUCUGCCCACUGCAUUAGUGAAUGUGUGUGACAGUGAUGGUAAGCGAUAUGACUGCACUGUGCUUUUGGACAUAGGUAGCCAAAAGAAUUAUAUUAGUUCUGCGUUUGCUAAUAAAUUGGACUGUGUUAAUUUUGAAGAUGCUAGUCAAACUGUGGCCGGGGUGGGAGGUCAUACUUGUAAAAUAAAGCAUAAAGUUGCACUAUCAGUUUAUUCUAACUGUUCUGAUUUUAAAUAUUGUUCAGAAUUCGGUGUGUUAGAUUUUAUUACUGAUCCUUUACCAAUGGUCAAUGUGUCUAAAGAGGCACUGCCGUCUCUCAUGCAUUUGCAUUUAGCUGACCCUAAUUUCAAUGUGUCUAAGGACAUUGAUAUGAUUCUUGGUGUUUCAUGUUUUGCAAAAUGUCUUCGAGAAGGCAAGAUCGAUCUAGGUCCAAAUAUGCCCACAUUAAUAAAUACUGAAUUUGGUUGGGUAUUUUGUGGUGAAUUGUCUGUGGUAGGUCAACAUGUUUCGGGUUUAAAAAGCCAAUGUCAUUUGUCUGUCCUACAUAACGACAUUAAAAAAUUUUGGCAAUUAGAAGAAAUGCCUAAUGAUAAUAUGUUGUCAUUUCAGGAGAAAAGGUGCGAACAGAGCUACCUUGAUUCUGUGUCCAGGGAUGAAGAAGGAAGGUAUCAUGUCGAUUUGCCAAUAAACAAAGAACUUCUACCAAAACUAGGCAAAUUCGAGUGAAACCUCAGUAUCAAGCACUUCAGCGCAUCCUGUGGAGAGAUGAUCCAUCGCAUGAUAUACAGUGUCUUCAGCUGGAUACUGUUACAUAUGGAACAGCAUCAGCCAGUUACCUUGCUACACGGACAUUGGUGAAAUUGGUUGAGGAUGAAGGUGAUAAUUUUCCAUCUGCUUCUAAGGCAUUACUUCAAAGUACCUUCGUUGAUGACAUUUUGCAUGGCGAGAAUGAUCUUUCUUCUGCAUUAAAUACCAUAAAUGAGUUGCAAGAGUUGUUAGCUAAAGGAAGGUUUGAAUUGCACAAAUGGUACUCUAAUAGCUCAAUGUUAAUGUCGCAAUU
Long non-coding RNA from Ostrinia nubilalis (European corn borer), 2029 nucleotides. RefSeq lists it as uncharacterized. The transcript has 3 exons. The record is from RefSeq and is a predicted model, not a curated record. NCBI's taxonomy places the organism in Eukaryota, Metazoa, Arthropoda, Insecta, Lepidoptera, Crambidae.